UUAAACAUGCAAGUCGAACGGUGAAGCCCAGCUUGCUGGGUGGAUCAGUGGCGAACGGGUGAGUAACACGUGAGCAAUCUGCCCCUGACUCUGGGAUAAGCGCUGGAAACGGCGUCUAAUACCGGAUAUGAGCCACCAUCGCAUGGUGAGUGGUUGGAAAGAUUUUUCGGUCUGGGAUGAGCUCGCGGCCUAUCAGCUUGUUGGUGAGGUAAUGGCUCACCAAGGCGUCGACGGGUAGCCGGCCUGAGAGGGUGACCGGCCACACUGGGACUGAGACACGGCCCAGACUCCUACGGGAGGCAGCAGUGGGGAAUAUUGCACAAUGGGCGGAAGCCUGAUGCAGCAACGCCGCGUGAGGGACGACGGCCUUCGGGUUGUAAACCUCUUUUAGCAGGGAAGAAGCGAAAGUGACGGUACCUGCAGAAAAAGCGCCGGCUAACUACGUGCCAGCAGCCGCGGUAAUACGUAGGGCGCAAGCGUUAUCCGGAAUUAUUGGGCGUAAAGAGCUCGUAGGCGGUUUGUCGCGUCUGCUGUGAAAUCCCGAGGCUCAACCUCGGGUCUGCAGUGGGUACGGGCAGACUAGAGUGCGGUAGGGGAGAUUGGAAUUCCUGGUGUAGCGGUGGAAUGCGCAGAUAUCAGGAGGAACACCGAUGGCGAAGGCAGAUCUCUGGGCCGUAACUGACGCUGAGGAGCGAAAGGGUGGGGAGCAAACAGGCUUAGAUACCCUGGUAGUCCACCCCGUAAACGUUGGGAACUAGUUGUGGGGUCCAUUCCACGGAUUCCGUGACGCAGCUAACGCAUUAAGUUCCCCGCCUGGGGAGUACGGCCGCAAGGCUAAAACUCAAAGGAAUUGACGGGGACCCGCACAAGCGGCGGAGCAUGCGGAUUAAUUCGAUGCAACGCGAAGAACCUUACCAAGGCUUGACAUACACGAGAACGCCGCAGAAAUGUGGAACUCUUUGGACACUCGUGAACAGGUGGUGCAUGGUUGUCGUCAGCUCGUGUCGUGAGAUGUUGGGUUAAGUCCCGCAACGAGCGCAACCCUCGUUCUAUGUUGCCAGCACGUAAUGGUGGGAACUCAUGGGAUACUGCCGGGGUCAACUCGGAGGAAGGUGGGGAUGACGUCAAAUCAUCAUGCCCCUUAUGUCUUGGGCUUCACGCAUGCUACAAUGGCCGGUACAAAGGGCUGCAAUACCGUGAGGUGGAGCGAAUCCCAAAAAGCCGGUCCCAGUUCGGAUUGAGGUCUGCAACUCGACCUCAUGAAGUCGGAGUCGCUAGUAAUCGCAGAUCAGCAACGCUGCGGUGAAUACGUUCCCGGGUCUUGUACACACCGCCCGUCAAGUCAUGAAAGUCGGUAACACCUGAAGCCGGUGGCCCAACCCUUGUGGAGGGAGCCGUCGAAGGUGGGAUCGGUAAUUAGGACUAAGUCGUAACAAAGG
RNAcentral lists this ribosomal RNA (1439 nucleotides) under bacterium. Its description in RNAcentral is "bacterial SSU rRNA". It matches the Rfam family "Bacterial small subunit ribosomal RNA". The record is from RNAcentral.